Molecule: ribosomal RNA, 773 nt
Filed under: uncultured bacterium
Lineage: Bacteria
Description: bacterial SSU rRNA
Rfam family: Bacterial small subunit ribosomal RNA
Source: RNAcentral
GAGUUUGAUCCUGGCUCANGAUGAACGCUAGCGGCAGGCCUAACACAUGCAAGUCGAGGGGCAGCGGGAGUAGCUUGCUACUUGCCGGCGACCGGCGCACGGGUGCGCAACGCGUAUGGAACCUGCCCUCUGCGGGGGAAUAGCCCAGAGAAAUUUGGAUUAAUGCCCCAUGUUACCGCUUUAUGGCAUCAUAUAGCGGUCAAAGGCUUCGGCCGGCAGAGGAUGNCAUGCGUACAUUAGUUAGUUGGUAAGGUAACGGCUUACCAAGACAGCGAUGGUUAGGGGCCCUGAGAGGGGGAUCCCCCACACUGGUACUGAGACACGGACCAGACUCCUACGGGAGGCAGCAGUGAGGAAUAUUGGACAAUGGGCGCGAGCCUGAUCCAGCCAUGCCGCGUGCGGGAAGAAGGCCCUACGGGUCGUAAACCGCUUUUACAUGGGAAGAACAAGGGGCACGUGUGCCCCCAUGACGGUACCAUGAGAAUAAGGACCGGCUAACUCCGUGCCAGCAGCCGCGGUAAUACGGAGGGUCCGAGCGUUAUCCGGAAUCAUUGGGUUUAAAGGGUCCGUAGGCGGGCCGUUAAGUCAGGGGUGAAAGUCUGCGGCUCAACCGUAGAAAUGCCUUUGAUACUGGCGGUCUUGAGUUAUGGUGAAGUGGGCGGAAUAUGUAGUGUAGCGGUGAAAUGCAUAGAUAUUACAUAGAACACCGAUUGCGAAGGCAGCUCACUAACCAUAUACUGACGCUGAUGGACGAAAGCGUGGGGAGCGAACAG